UGGGGAAUAUUGCACAAUGGGCGCAAGCCUGAUGCAGCCAUGCCGCGUGUAUGAAGAAGGCCUUCGGGUUGUAAAGUACUUUCAGAGGGGAGGAAGGCGAUGUGGUUAAUAACCGCGUCGAUUGACGUUACCCGCAGAAGAAGCACCGGCUAACUCCGUGCCAGCAGCCGCGGUAAUACGGAGGGUGCAAGCGUUAAUCGGAAUUACUGGGCGUAAAGCGCACGCAGGCGGUCUGUCAAGUCGGAUGUGAAAUCCCCGGGCUCAACCUGGGAACUGCAUCCGAAACUGGCAGGCUUGAGUCUCGUAGAGGGGGGUAGAAUUCCAGGUGUA
Molecule: ribosomal RNA, 330 nt
Filed under: uncultured bacterium
Lineage: Bacteria
Description: partial 16S ribosomal RNA
Rfam family: Bacterial small subunit ribosomal RNA
Source: RNAcentral